Molecule: non-coding RNA, 30 nt
Filed under: Mus musculus (house mouse)
Lineage: Eukaryota; Metazoa; Chordata; Mammalia; Rodentia; Muridae
Source: RNAcentral
UUACAUGUGCACAGUCUCUUCUCCCCAUGU